Long non-coding RNA from Brassica napus (rape), 4562 nucleotides. RefSeq lists it as uncharacterized. The transcript has 3 exons. The record is from RefSeq and is a predicted model, not a curated record. Lineage: Eukaryota; Viridiplantae; Streptophyta; Magnoliopsida; Brassicales; Brassicaceae.
UCGGUAACUAACUUACAAGAGUCGGCCUGCCCUACGGAUGAAAAAUUAUAAUAAAAAUUAUUUUAUAUUUAUUUAUGAAGUGUCUAAAAAUUAUUACAAACAAACAAAUAAUGAAAACAUUAUGAGAUCAUAAUAAUAAAUAAUUUGUUUUGAAUUAUAACGAUGGUAACCUUCACUGUUUUUUGAUAAAUAGCAUUAUAUUUUUAAUAUUUAUUUUAGUUUCAAAUGUUUAGUUUUAUAAUAUAUAGUAAUCAUUUUUUUAUUAUUAAAUAAAUGUGCACAUAUAUAUAUAUAUAUAUAUAUAUAUAUAUAUAUAUAUAUAUGUUGAAGAAAAUGACAUGGAAGAAUUAUUGUCAAAGAAGAGUUAUUUUUAUGAACAUAAAUCCGCUACUAUGUUUUAUCCUAUAAAUUAUUCGGAUUGUGUAAUAAAUUUUCUACUAUAAAAAUAACAUUAAAACUCAUGUAACACAACUAAUGUACACAAUUAUUUUUUACAUAUGUGAAUAAUUUGAAAUCAUAUACCUCAAACCAAUCAGCUUCUCUCUAAAAGUAUUACCUUAAAAAUGACAACAUGUAAAGUUGCUUCACGUGUUACUCCCUACUUAUAUAUAAACACAAUAAACAUCACGUGUAUAUGAUAAAUUAAACUGAAUGUCAUUAGAAAAUAAGAUAAUUUACUUUCUCGUCUCAUAAAAGCAUGAAAUAAUUGUAACAUUUCGGUAUGCUCUUAGGGUUAUAAAUUCUUUGAGUUCUUCUACUUGAUUUAGUAAAUAAUGUUUAAAAGACUUUAAAUUUUAGGAAAUCAACAACAAUUUUGCACUUUCUCUUUUCAAAUCAUUGGCAAAAUAUAUUAUGUAAUUGUUAGGGAAAAAAUAUCAAACCACUACAAGAAAAAUGGGUUUUAAUAGCAGACCGAAAUAGCGUUUUUUACGAUUGUGCUAUGUUUGACAUACCCAUUAGUCUUAGAUAGCGUUUGUAUAUUUAGAAACGCUAUGAUAAAGUGGUAUAUUUGGAAACGCUAUGAUAACAUAUGGUUUUUUAUAUGUAACACUCGUGUUUAAUAGCAAAACAUGAUUAAAAAUGCUAUGUUUGGUUUUUGAAUCCCUAAACCCUAAAACAAGUUUUUAAGCCCUAAACUCUAAAUACAAACUUUAAACUCUAUUUUAACAUCAAAUCAUAAAUUUAACUUCAAAUGUUAGAUAUAAAUUCAAAAAUUAAUCUUUUUCCAAAAAUUUAUCUCAAAUCUUAAAAUCAAUAUCCCAAACCAUUAAGUUUUAAACCAUAUACUCAUACAUUUAUUCUAAACUCUACAAGUAAUAAAAAAAAUCUCAACACUAAACCUUAAAUCAUAAACAUAAAUCUUAACUUUCAAACAGUAAAAAUUUUAAAUCACCAACUUCUAAAUCAUAAACAUAUAAACUCUAAAGCAUAUAACAAAAUAAUAAAUUCAAAAUCAAAAAUAUAACUCUUAAGUUUGUAUAUAAAAAAUACUUAACAUAACUCUAAUUAUUCAAACCCUAUCAUGAAAAUUUUAAAAAUCAUAAAUCCACAAAAUUCAAAUCUAAUUUACAUAAUCUUUAAAUUUAGGAAAAUUUUAAAAGAAUUAAAAGGAAAUGUAAAACAAUUUUUUUUGCCCUUUUUUUAUGGCCAUUGAUUGAGUAUAGUCUAAAGGUUAAAAUUAUUUUUUUAUCAAUUUUCAACCUUCUCUUUUAUUGGUUGACUUUUUUUUUCGAGGAUCGCAAUUUUUAGCCAUUGAUGAAAUAUAAUCAAAUGGCCACAAUUCAAUCUCUCUCUUUCUCAUUUAUCUUCUCCUUUACGAAACAGAUCAAGUCUUUCCAGAUCCUCUCUACGACGUUUUCUCCUUCUUCACCACUCACAACGAUUCCGACUUCUCCUCCGCCACGGCUACUCCCUCCACGCUUAUCAAGCCUUGCUCUUACUCCUCCUCUUCUACCUGCGGCGAUGAAUCUCACCCUUCCGGCGACGACAUCAACAAGCGAAUCGAUUAAAUGAUCCAAUCGAGGUCAGACCUCAUCCUCUUUAAGGGAAAGUCAAAUCAGACGGUUCUUGAGGAGGAUAACGAUAUAUGACAAUUGUGGGCUGAGCCGAGGACGGUGGAUUGAAGAUCCAGUAGCCGUAGCAGAGCAGCGCCUGAGGUAAAGGACAAUCCCGAGCUUCUCUCCGCUGACACGGAGAAGACAGAGGAAGAGGAAGACAUUGUUGGCAGAUCCGAGCUCUCUCCACUGCGACUCCAGUCACGCCUCCGACGCUUCCGCUGCUCACCUCGCCAGCUUUGACGGAGAAGACAAACAGGCGGCUGAGAAAAUUAGAUCUAGGUUUUUUUUUUUUAAUUUGGGUUUAGGCUUUUUAAUUUUUUUUUGGUGUAGUCUUCUGUAAUACAAUUUUAUAAUUUAUAAAUAAAUUUUGAUUUAUAAAUAAAAUUUAAUUAUAAGUUGCAAUUUCGAUUUAUAUUUUAAUUUUUUAAUUUUUUAUUUUAACUGCUAUAGUAGAAUUAACUAAAACAAACAGAAAAUGCUAUUUAUAAAAUUAGUAUUAGCAGUAAAAAGACGCUAUUAAAUAAUAUUUAAUUGCAGAAAUAAAAGCGCUAUCGUAGCGGAAGAAAAGAUGGCACAACGAAAUACCGCUAUUUAAUGUCCUCGACCUAUUAUGACGGGCGAUGAUACAGCGCUUAACAAACCGCUAUCCUAUCGUUAGAUAGCAUUAUUCGUCCGCUAUAAAAACGCGUUUUUCUUGUAGUGAACUAUUUUGCGGAGAUUAUGUAAUUUCACUAUAUUAUCAUCUGCUGACUCAAAACGAUAUUAAAAAUUUGUUUGAAUUGAAAAUUAAAUACUAUUGAGAGAAAAUGAUGGCUAAAUGUCUUAGUAGAUUUGAUCUUAGUAGUAAACAAAAUUAAAAAUUAAUGUCAAAUUUAGUUUUAAAAGGUUUUGUAAACUUUGUUUUAAAAGGUUUUGUCUAAGUUUGUUUUUUUUGCCAAAAAUAAAGGGUUUUCUCUAAGUUUAUGGGGUUAGCUUUGUUUUUGGAAACUGUUUCCUGUAUGAGUAAGUUGUAGUUGUUAUUUCAAAAGGUAAAAUCAUUUGCUUCACAGUGGAAUGUUGGUCGGAAGCUUGUCUUGUGGGAUAGUUUGUUAAAGGGUGAGGUCUUGGGUUCGAAGAACGUCAAGCGCACCAAUAACCUACAUGGGGAAGUCAGUGAGGGCUCACAUGUGAGGAGUAAGGGGUGGUGCCCUGCAGAGCCAGAUUGAGGUUUAGGGUUUAAAUUUACAUAUUUGAUAGAUAUUUACAAAUGCUGAGACUAAUUUCUGUUUAUACAUUAAUUUUGCAGUUAAAAUUGUUUUCUUCGUGUUACAAAAAAAAAAAAUUGUGAAUUUUAGCGAAAACAUAUUUUCAUUGAUGCAUAUCAAAACCAAUUGAAGUGAUGAGAGUAAGAUAUUUACUUGUAAACAUAAUUUCUUCAAGCAAGUUCCUGGUAUUCAUAAUCAUAAGAGAUUUCUAAAUCCAUUUAAGUUAAUAAAAGGUAAAAAUAGUGGAGAACAUACUACACAUAUAUAUUCCAUAACUUAUUUCCUUUGAGUGUGUUCUCAUCUAUAUUUUGACCAUAAUAUUUUAAAAAAUUUCUGGACUUGCUAUACCAUAUUGAACUCUAACAUUUACUCGUUAAUGACAAAAAAACUGAAAUGUCAGCAUUUAAUCUUAUUUAUUAGUACGAAACUGAAGAAAGGACAUUGACUUUCAUUAAAUACUUUCUCUACAGAAAUCAUAUCACUUGUUCAGUUUUAUUCUUUAAUCAGCUUCUCCUUAUAUCAAUGGGUGGAUCAUAUCAAUUGAUCAGUUUUAUUCUUUAAUCAGCUUCUCCUUAUAUCAGUGGGUGCUUCCAAGCUAGCCAGAGUCAACGGCUGCAUGGAAUAAUAGCCAUCACAUUCACCAAGGUAGGUUAUGUACAGAGAAUUUUUACUAAUCGGAGUAGGCGUAGAUGAAUUUAUAAGAUUGCAGUGUAUCUACUUUGAUACCUUACCCUCUGCUCUUCAAGGCAAUCUCAAACAAAAUUGCUCAGAAAGACAUGGACUUGAUCACUGCUUAUUACCAACAACUUAGGGAGAAGAAGAUAUCUCGAGAGGGAUUCUGGAAGAAGCUGAGGAUGAUUGUUGGAAAUGAUCAUCUUCUGAAAACCACACACUGCUAUGAAAAUGGAACCAGUCACAGGUGGCUGUUAAAGAUGGGGAUAGACUAAAACUAUUUCUAGGGUUGGUCCGGGCGGUAAAUUUACACUAAAACUAUUUUAUAUUAAAAUAUAUUAAAACAUUUGAAAAUUUAUUUUAAACUGAGAUAAUAAGUGUAAUCUUUUCCAUUUUAAGUUUAUAUUGUAAAUCAAAUUUUGUUGGUCUGAGUUGAUAAAGACCACUAACAUUUUUUUUUGUUAGAGAACACAAAAUUAUUAAAUCAGAAAAUUAAGGAAAAUGUAAUGAUUUAUUUUUUCUAUUUGAUUUCAAUUUCAGCUUGAUAUAGUUAAGAAAAUCUAAAGUAAUAAUGAUUAAUAUCUUUUUA